Molecule: long non-coding RNA, 4773 nt
Filed under: Canis lupus familiaris (dog)
Lineage: Eukaryota; Metazoa; Chordata; Mammalia; Carnivora; Canidae
Description: lncRNA (ENSCAFG00030008156.1)
Source: RNAcentral
AUGAGGGGGGGAGCAUCGGUCUGGAAGGUGCCGCUCCACAGCGGGGUGACUCUGAUCCCCGACAGUGGUCCCGGCCUGGGACCGGAGCAGGGCAGAGGAGGGAGGUGUCGCCUGGUUGGGGUGGGGGGGGCAGGGGGAGCGGUGCCCAGUCCCCUCCCCGCUCAAGCCCUCGGCUGGACACACAGCACCGGGGCCAGCCCGGAUGGGCUCGGGCACCCAUGGCCGCGCUGGGGUAGGAGAGGGACGGCUGAAGCUGCCAGUGGUUCCUCCAGGUCUGGAUUCCUCAUCUGGGUAUUCAAGGCCCUUUGCCCUGUCUCCUCCAGGAAGCCCUCUCGGAUCGCUGCCCAGCUCACAUUGGGUCUUCCAUUUGGGCCUCUGUGGCUCCUGGAAGAGGGUGCAAACCUAGUGCCUGGAGGGGACAGGCAGGUAAUGAGUGGGGCAGGCUGGGCGAGAUCCAGCAGCGAAGGCGAGAGGCCCGCAGCGGGAAGGCACAGCCUGGGAGCCCGCCAGGGUGCUUUCAUGCUCGGCUCUGGGUAGCCGGAGCUCCAAGGCCGGAGCGGUCAUCCACCAACCAGCGGGGAGCUCCCGAAGGGCUGGUGUCCCUGCUGACGCCAGUGUGGGCUGGACACCUGUGCGGGCUUCCUGUCCAGCAUUGGAGGCCCCGGGGCCCCGGGACCCAGGGAAUAACAUGGGGCAACCUUCCCGCUUGGAGCUAGGGAAACUGAGGCCCAGAUGCGGGUGGUGAGGAGGAGCCCCUGUUCUGUUCCGCGCAGACUGUACAUCCAUGCAGGCAUAACCCUCACAACAGGGGCAGGAGGGCGGGUUUUUGUACCUCGUCUUAUUUAUUUUUAUUUAUUUAUUUUUAUAAGAUUUUAUUAAUUCAUGAGAGACACACAGAGAGAGAGAGAGACACAGGCAGAGGGAGAAGCAGGCUCCGUGCAGGGAGCCUGAUGCAGAACUUGAUCCCGGGACCCCGGGGUCACGCCCUGAGCCGAAGGCAGGUGCCCACCCGCUGGGCCACCCGGGUGCACCCGUACCUCGUUUUAGAGAGGAGGAAACAGGCUGGGGGGGGGGCACUUUACGCCUGCGUUUGAAUCGGUUGGGGCCCCAGUGCCAGCUGCUUCUUUCUGGCAGGAUCAUGGGGGUGCUGAGGUGUGCACUGAGUUCCCUGAGGGGGCCGGGGUGCAUUUAUGCCCAGAGUGAGCCCAGCUGGAGGCAGGAAGCCUGGGAUCCUGGCCCACAUGUGCCACCAACUCCCUCGAGCUUGGGUGACCUUGGACUGGCUGCCAGCCCUGCUCAGUAUUUCCAGGCUGGUCUCUGGGCUCCUUCGGCUCCAGGCCAGGCCCAUGAUGAAGCCCUGUCCUUUUUGGGGUCACUGUCACGUGGGAGAUGGUGACUGGGACAUCCCAGAAGGGCCCCAGUUAGUCGUAUGGGGCAAUCAGGGAAGCCUGUUCCCCACCCAAGGAGGGGAGAGGACAGGCCACCACCAGGGGGGAGGGCUGCAGGACUGUGCACUCAGCUCUGUGGUCCGGAGCCUCCCCCCACCCCAGCAUGACCUUGGCACUUCCGAAAACACUCGCAGAGUGAACGGGCAAGGAUGCCCUGUAUAGCCUGGGCUGUAAGAUGGGGGAAGCCAGGCCCGGUGAGUCCAGGGAGCCUCGGGGUUGCCAUUCGCUCCCUGGGGCCUCGCUGGUCCAGCCCCUGCUCACACCCUCACCCUUCCGUGAGGAGCUCACCCCCUCCCAGGGCAGCCCUGCCCUCUCUGCCCCAAGGAGGUUUUUCCCUCCCCACCACUUGCAUGCAUUCACAUCUAGUGCAGUUUCAAGGCUCACAGACUCCCAAGUCCCCUCUCCCUGGGGACCCCAGUUAGAAACUUCCGCUUUAAUCAUUCCCCAUGUGACUUGGAUAAUGUCAUCCUUCAUGCUGACCUAGGACAGGAAGCUAGGCAGUCCCCAGGCCAUGCUUGCCCACUCGUUCUCUCCACACACGUUAGCCCGACGCCUUGUCUGUGCCAGGCCUAGGCUGGGCUCCGGGUGCAGAAGAGAGCAAGACCUGCCCCGGGGGCCCUGGGAAGUCACGUCCGUCAGCACUGACAGCUUGGCGGGGGGUGGUCAGGGCAGGACAGAGGUGCCCGCACCCCAGCCUGUUGGGCGAGGCCGCUUGGAGGACCCUGGGGAAUGGUCAGGGAGGGGAGGCAGCCCUGCAAAGGAAGCAACGAGCGCAAAGGCUUGGAGGCCUGUGUCUGCUGGGGAAGGGGAGCCCGGGAGGCACUGGGUCCGGCGUGAGGCUGAGGGCCGGCUGCGGAUGGGUCUCUGCUUUUUGCAACUGCUUCCGGCCUGUGUGCAGCUCUGCUGACUGCUCGUGUGCCCUAAUACACACACACACACACACACACACACACACAAUCCCACUGACUCUAAAUGCAGACACGACUGCACGCACGCCCCCCCCAGCUCAUCUCCACAGACCUUGGACUGGCUGCCAGUGAGCACUGCACACCCGCACACAGCAGGCCCCUCUGCCUGCAGCCGCGGGCUCACCCAUCCUUUUUCUUUGUACAGUGAACCCUGUAAGAGCCUGGGGCUGAGCCUCAAAGACUCCGUCCCUGGAGUUUUGUGCAAAGACCCUUAGGUGUCACCCUCCCCCCCGGGCUUCCCCUGAGCCUCGGCCUAGGCUCCCAGGGCACCCAGGGAAACCUCCCGUGCCAGCCCCGGAGGGCCACAGCCCUGCUGAGAAGCCAGGCGCCCUGGCAUUCGCCCCAGACAGUCUGGAUUGCCUGUGUGACCUUGGCUAACCUUCUGCUUUGUCAGCCUUGGAUUGGGGGGUGGGGGUACGGGCUCCUCGUUUCCAGCCUCCGUUCCCAGCCUGGUCCAAGAGCCCCGGCGUCCAGGAGGGUACCUGGGGGCUCCGGAGGCAGAGGUGGAGCUGGAUGGGCCCCUUCCCUUUCAGCCGCAGCAGCAGGACUGCUUAGAUCUGCAUUUUAUAUUAAGGGUCAGGCAGGAUUUGAAGGAAAAACCCAUUAACUCUUUAUUGAUUUUGUUUUCCUGAUUACAAAAGAAAAUCCAACAACACGUUUGUGGAUAAGAGCCCGUGAAAGCUCCUCCUCCUCCUCCUGGGAGGUGUUCCCUGUAACAUCUGGGUGUUGUCCUCCAGCCUUUUGGGGCAUAUACCAACAAAUGGCUUUUAUAAAAAUGGGCUCGUUCUGAAAUAGCAUCGUACAGCUUGAUUUUUUUUGUAUUGUUAUAUAUAGAUCUGCCUCUCUCUGUCGACGGGCGGCGGAGUAUUCCCGAGCAUAGAUGUGCUGUAUUUUUAUUUUAUUUUAUUUUUUAUUUUUUUAUUUUUUAGAUGUGCUGUAUUUUAGAUGAACAUUCCCUUACUGGUGAGCACUGAGGUCACUUCCAAUUUCUUUUUUCCUCUUACCAGCGAUACCGCUGUAAGCAUCCUUGACUAUUUAUACGUGACUGUCUCUGCUAUAGUUUCUGUAGGAGAAGCUCCUAGAAGUGGGAUAACUAGUUUGUAGAGCGUGUGGGUUUAAAGCGUUAUCCGAUAGUGCCAAAUUACCCUCCCAAAGGUUGAGCCAAUUCCCCCCUCCCUCUGAUGGUCUGUGAGCGCUCACUUCCCUGCAUCCUUGCCAGCACUGGUUGUUAUCAAUCAUUUUAAUUUUUCCCAAUCUAAUGGGCAAAAAAUGGUAUCGCGUCGCUUUCAUCUGCGUUUCCCUGAUUGCUAGUGAGAUAGAACAUCUUUUCAUACAUUUAUUGGCCAAUUGAGUUCUUCCUCUGUGAAUUUCUAAUUCACUGCCAAUUUUCUCUUCUUUUGUCUUUUUUUUUUUCUUAUUGAUUUGUAGCGGCUCUUUGUAUAUUAGUGAUGUUUCCUUCCAGUGUCUCGCUUGCCUUUUAACUUGCGCGUAGUGUCUUUUGCUCUACAGAUGUCUUAGGUGUUUAUGGACUCGGAUUUAUCAAAUUUUCACUUUAUGGCUUCUGGAUUUAAGGUCUGGCAUAGAAAGGCUUCCUCCACUGCAUAAGAUUUCAUUUCGAAUAAGGAUUUUUAUUGCUGAAAAAUCUUUGCAGAGCUCUGCUUUGCGGCUGCAGUACUGGUUCUGGGGAGGAAGGGAUGGUCCGUCCGUCCGUCCUUUUCUAUCACUGCCUUUCCGUCGGUCUGUCUGGCUUUGGGGUCGUGGUCACGCGGUGUCUCUUCAGGCCUCUGUCUCUCAUGUGCUCUCCUCCUCCUUUCUGCUUUUCUAUCCCCAGGUGGGUUCCGCAUUGCACAGCGGGGGUGGCGGGACAGCCCUGGCGUCCUCAGUGGGUUGAGAAGCCGCAGGGAAUGUGCCCAGCCCCCCUAGCCUCACCCUGAGUCUUGGGGGCUGGUGAGGCAGGCCCUGGCCCAGUUCUCCCUUUCAGGGCCGCUCACGUCCUGCCGCUCUUGGUCCUCACUGGUGCCUUCUCGGGGCUGAGCAACCUGGGGCCACCCCUCACGAUCUUGGCUUCCCUCUGGGUAAAAUAGGUCCUGGGAGUCUGCACCAGCUCCCGAGAGACGCGGCCGGUGUGGGAUGCAGCCGAGCUCUGGAACGUGUCCCCUCGUGCCCUCUUGCUACCAGCCCACCUCCAAGGAACCCAGACACCACAGGAGGGAAUCUUUGUGUCGUGGACAUGGAUGGGGACUUCGUUCACGAGGGUGAUGACCGAUGGCCCGGGCUCACUUGCUUUCGGCCCUGUGCAGGGCCCCAGCCCAGUGCAAGGUCUGGCUCGAGGGAGGCUCCCAGGAAAGCAGGAACAA